This 76-nucleotide ribosomal RNA is filed under the name Amycolatopsis saalfeldensis. RNAcentral's name for it is "23S rRNA. Bacterial LSU". The record is from RNAcentral. Lineage: Bacteria; Bacillati; Actinomycetota; Actinomycetes; Pseudonocardiales; Pseudonocardiaceae.
GGUUGAUAGGCCAGAAAUGGAAGCACAGUAAUGUGUUGUCGAGUUGACUGGUACUAAUAGGCCGAGGACUUGCCCA